CUGGGUAGCUAUGUUCGGAACGGAUAACCGCUGAAAGCAUCUAAGCGGGAAGCCAACCCCAAGAUUAGAUUUCCCCUGACCCUUGAGGUCACUGAAGACUCCUCGAAGAUUACGAGGUUGAUAGGCUGGAGGUGUAAGCACAGCAAUGUGUUCAGCCAACCAGUACUAAUCAGUCGUGAGGCUUGACCAUAU
RNAcentral lists this ribosomal RNA (192 nucleotides) under Spirochaetota bacterium. Its description in RNAcentral is "Spirochaetes bacterium (anaerobic digester metagenome) partial 23S ribosomal RNA". It matches the Rfam family "Bacterial large subunit ribosomal RNA", at positions 2741 to 2925 of the family's 2925-position model. Lineage: Bacteria; Pseudomonadati; Spirochaetota. The record is from RNAcentral.